RNAcentral lists this ribosomal RNA (253 nucleotides) under uncultured bacterium. Its description in RNAcentral is "partial 16S ribosomal RNA". It matches the Rfam family "Bacterial small subunit ribosomal RNA", at positions 524 to 776 of the family's 1533-position model. The record is from RNAcentral.
UACGGAGGAUCCAAGCGUUAUCCGGAAUCAUUGGGUUUAAAGGGUCCGUAGGCGGCCCUGUAAGUCAGUGGUGAAAUCUCCCGGCUCAACCGGGAAAUUGCCAUUGAUACUGCAGGGCUUGAAUUACUGGGAAGUAACUAGAAUAUGUAGUGUAGCGGUGAAAUGCUUAGAGAUUACAUGGAAUACCAAUUGCGAAGGCAGGUUACUACCAGUGGAUUGACGCUGAUGGACGAAAGCGUGGGGAGCGAACAGG